RNAcentral lists this ribosomal RNA (497 nucleotides) under uncultured bacterium. Its description in RNAcentral is "partial 16S ribosomal RNA". It matches the Rfam family "Bacterial small subunit ribosomal RNA", at positions 28 to 507 of the family's 1533-position model. The record is from RNAcentral.
GAUGAACGCUGGCGGCGUGCCUAAUACAUGCCAGUCGAGCGAACGGACGAGAAGCUUGCUUCUCUGAUGUUAGCGGCGGACGGGUGAGUAACACGUGGAUAACCUACCUAUAAGACUGGGAUAACUUCGGGAAACCGGAGCUAAUACCGGAUAAUAUUUUGAACCGCAUGGUUCAAUAGUGAAAGACGGUCUUGCUGUCACUUAUAGAUGGAUCCGCGCUGCAUUAGCUAGUUGGUAAGGUAACGGCUUACCAAGGCAACGAUGCAUAGCCGACCUGAGAGGGUGAUCGGCCACACUGGAACUGAGACACGGUCCAGACUCCUACGGGAGGCAGCAGUAGGGAAUCUUCCGCAAUGGGCGAAAGCCUGACGGAGCAACGCCGCGUGAGUGAUGAAGGUCUUCGGAUCGUAAAACUCUGUUAUUAGGGAAGAACAAAUGUGUAAGUAACUGUGCACAUCUUGACGGUACCUAAUCAGAAAGCCACGGCUAACUACGUG